RNAcentral lists this ribosomal RNA (780 nucleotides) under uncultured Vibrio sp. Its description in RNAcentral is "bacterial SSU rRNA". It matches the Rfam family "Bacterial small subunit ribosomal RNA", at positions 28 to 792 of the family's 1533-position model. The record is from RNAcentral. Lineage: Bacteria; Pseudomonadati; Pseudomonadota; Gammaproteobacteria; Vibrionales; Vibrionaceae.
AUUGAACGCUGGCGGCAGGCCUAACACAGUCGAGCGGAAACGAGUUAUCUGAACCUUCGGGGGACGAUAACGGCGUCGAGCGGCGGACGGGUGAGUAAUGCCUAGGAAAUUGCCCUGAUGUGGGGGAUAACCAUUGGAAACGAUGGCUAAUACCGCAUGAUGCCUACGGGCCAAAGAGGGGGACCUUCGGGCCUCUCGCGUCAGGAUAUGCCUAGGUGGGAUUAGCUAGUUGGUGAGGUAAUGGCUCACCAAGGCGACGAUCCCUAGCUGGUCUGAGAGGAUGAUCAGCCACACUGGAACUGAGACACGGUCCAGACUCCUACGGGAGGCAGCAGUGGGGAAUAUUGCACAAUGGGCGCAAGCCUGAUGCAGCCAUGCCGCGUGUGUGAAGAAGGCCUUCGGGUUGUAAAGCACUUUCAGUCGUGAGGAAGGUAGUGUAGUUAAUAGCUGCAUUACUUGACGUUAGCGACAGAAGAAGCACCGGCUAACUCCGUGCCAGCAGCCGCGGUAAUACGGAGGGUGCGAGCGUUAAUCGGAAUUACUGGGCGUAAAGCGCAUGCAGGUGGUUUGUUAAGUCAGAUGUGAAAGCCCGGGGCUCAACCUCGGAAUAGCAUUUGAAACUGGCAGACUAGAGUACUGUAGAGGGGGGUAGAAUUUCAGGUGUAGCGGUGAAAUGCGUAGAGAUCUGAAGGAAUACCGGUGGCGAAGGCGGCCCCCUGGACAGAUACUGACACUCAGAUGCGAAAGUGUGGGGAGCAAACAGGAUUAGAUACCCUGGUA